UUUAGGCUUAGGCUUAGGCUUAGGCUUUAGCCUAGUUUUAGGCUUAGGCUUAGGCUGUGGCUUAGGCUUAGGCU
Caenorhabditis elegans is the source of this 74-nucleotide non-coding RNA. The record is from Ensembl. NCBI's taxonomy places the organism in Eukaryota, Metazoa, Nematoda, Chromadorea, Rhabditida, Rhabditidae.